CGACUCCAUGAAGCUGGAUUCGCUAGUAAUCGCGCAUCAGCCACGGCGCGGUGAAUACGUUCCCGGGCCUUGUACACACCGCCCGUCAAGCCAUGGAAGCCGGGAGUGCCUGAAGUGUGCAACCGCAAGGAGCGCCCUAAGGUAAAACCGGUGACUGGGGCUAAGUCGUAACAAGGUAAC
Molecule: ribosomal RNA, 180 nt
Filed under: uncultured bacterium
Lineage: Bacteria
Description: partial 16S ribosomal RNA
Rfam family: Bacterial small subunit ribosomal RNA
Source: RNAcentral